GACGAACGCUGGCGGCGUGCCUAACACAUGCAAGUCGAACGGAGCUGUUUUGGAAGUCCUUCGGGCGGAAGAGAUAGCUUAGUGGCGAACGGGUGAGUAACGCGUGAGCAACCUGCCUUUCAGAGGGGGACAACAGUUGGAAACGACUGCUAAUACCGCAUAAUGCAACGAAGCCGCAUGACUUUGUUGCCAAAGAUUUAUCGCUGAAAGAUGGGCUCGCGUCUGAUUAGAUAGUUGGUGGGGUAACGGCCUACCAAGUACGACGAUCAGUAGCCGGACUGAGAGGUUGAACGGCCACAUUGGGACUGAGAUACGGCCCAGACUCCUACGGGAGGCAGCAGUGGGGAAUAUUGGGGCAAUGGGGGCAACCCUGACCCAGCAACGCCGCGUGAAGGAGAAGGCUUUCGGUUGUAAACUCUUUAGUCAGGGGACGAAGAACGGUGACGGUACCUGGCAGGAAAAAAGCAACGGCUAACUACGUGCCAGCAG
RNAcentral lists this ribosomal RNA (489 nucleotides) under uncultured bacterium. RNAcentral's name for it is "bacterial SSU rRNA". It matches the Rfam family "Bacterial small subunit ribosomal RNA", at positions 28 to 514 of the family's 1533-position model. The record is from RNAcentral.